CACCGCGGUUAUACGAGAGGUCCAAAUUGACAGCCAUCGGCGUAAAGAGUGGUUAUAGACCCCUACACAACUAAAGCCAAAACUCCUCCCAGCUGUCAUACGCACCCGAAGACAAGAGGCCCAACCACGAAAGUAGCUUUAAUCACAAACCCCUAGAACCCACGACAGCCAGGACA
RNAcentral lists this ribosomal RNA (176 nucleotides) under Megalops cyprinoides (Indo-Pacific tarpon). RNAcentral's name for it is "partial 12S ribosomal RNA". The record is from RNAcentral. Lineage: Eukaryota; Metazoa; Chordata; Actinopteri; Elopiformes; Megalopidae.